GACGAACGCUGGCGGCGGGCUUAACACAUGCAAGUCGAGCGCCCCGAAAGGGGAGCGGCAGGCGGGGGAGUAACGCGUGGGAAGCUACGCGUCUCUACGGAAUAAAGCGUGAAAACGAGUGCUAAUAACGGAUACGUACUUCGGGAGAAAGAUUUAUCGGUGAUGGAUGAGCCAGCGUUGGAUUAGCUUGUUGGUGGGGUAAAGGCCUACCAAGGCGACGAUCCAUAGCUGGUCUGAGAGGAUGAUCAGUGACACUGGAACUGAGACACGGCCCAGACUCCUACGGGAGGCAGCAGUGGGGAAUAUUGGACAAUGGGCGCAGGCCUGAUCCAGCCAUGCCGCGUGCAUGAUGAAGGCCCUCGGGUUGUAAACUUCUUUCACAGGUGAAGAUAAUGACGGUAACCGAAGAAGAAGGCCCGGCUAACUUCGUGCCAGCCGCCGCCGUAA
RNAcentral lists this ribosomal RNA (447 nucleotides) under uncultured bacterium. RNAcentral describes it as "partial 16S ribosomal RNA". It matches the Rfam family "Bacterial small subunit ribosomal RNA", at positions 28 to 523 of the family's 1533-position model. The record is from RNAcentral.